GGGCGAGUAAAGUGGCGCACGGGUGAGUAACGCGUGGAUAAUCUACCCUUAAGAUGGGGAUAACGGCUGGAAACGGUCGCUAAUACCGAAUACGCUCCCGAUUUUACCGUUGGGGGGAAAGAUGGCCUCUGCUUGCAAGCUAUCGCUUAAGGAUGAGUCCGCGUCCCAUUAGCUAGUUGGCGGGGUAACGGCCCACCAAGGCGACGAUGGGUAGCCGGUCUGAGAGGAUGACCGGCCACACUGGAACUGGAACACGGUCCAGACUCCUACGGGAGGCAACAGUGGGGAAUAUUGCGCAAUGGGCGAAAGCCUGACGCAGCGACGCCGCGUGAGGGAUGAAGGUUCUCGGAUCGUAAACCUCUGUCAGGGGGGAAGAAACCCCCUCGUGUGAAUAAUGCGAGGGCUUGACGGUACCCCCAAAGGAAGCACCGGCUAACUCCGCGCCAGCAGCCGCGGUAAUACGGAGGGUGCAAGCGUUAAUCGGAAUCACUGGGCGUAAAGCGCACGUAGGCGGCUCGGUAAGUCAGGGGUGAAAUCCCACAGCCCAACUGUGGAACUGCCCUUGAUACUGCCGGGCUUGAGUACCGGAGAGGGUGGCGGAAUUCCAGGUGUAGGAGUGAAAUCCGUAGAUAUCUGGAGGAACACCGGU
Molecule: ribosomal RNA, 649 nt
Filed under: uncultured bacterium
Lineage: Bacteria
Description: bacterial SSU rRNA
Rfam family: Bacterial small subunit ribosomal RNA
Source: RNAcentral